GCCUCUGCUGCCUCUGCGUCACGUCCGUGUAACAGAGCAAGUGGUGGCCCCAUUUGGUGCACUCUGUGAGUCCGUGUGUGUAGUGCGCGCGUCACCCGCUCCUAGCUGCAGUGGAAACGUGCCGAGCUGCCUGGGUUUCCGUCCUCCCUCCUCGCUUGCCGCGACACUUCUCGCUGCUGAAGUCAGCCAACUGGGACUCCUGCUGCUUUGUCUCUGGCUGGUUUGUCUCCUCAAAGAUGCUUGCUCUCGCCGCCGUUGUUUUCUGCCACUGCUUAUCACUGCAGUGUGGAUUUCUGUUUCGUCACCUGCAGACUUUUGUGUUUGCGCAUGGGGACCCACACGCCGUAUUUUACCACCUAAAUCUUUAUUGUAUGAUUGAGAAAUGGGAUUAAUUGUCCCUGAGGGCCUGCAGUGGUGGUGCUGGUGUCGGGUGGGUGCGUUCCACUCCUUUUGGUGUGCUGUGUCCUUAGACUGUAUAUAAAGUGGACGUAGCAUCUGGCUCCAAAACUGAAGCCCACCCGGAAGUGUCAAAAACUUGCAAUAUCACACCGUCUGCUAGGGUUGGCUCCAAAAAGCUUUUGCUCCAUAGACCCUAAUUCAUUUAUGGAAAAAAUAAAAUUUGAUAGACUGA
Long non-coding RNA from Acanthochromis polyacanthus (spiny chromis), 631 nucleotides. RefSeq lists it as uncharacterized. Lineage: Eukaryota; Metazoa; Chordata; Actinopteri; Pomacentridae. The record is from RefSeq and is a predicted model, not a curated record. The transcript has 2 exons.